This 755-nucleotide ribosomal RNA is filed under the name uncultured Psychrobacter sp. RNAcentral's name for it is "bacterial SSU rRNA". It matches the Rfam family "Bacterial small subunit ribosomal RNA", at positions 28 to 776 of the family's 1533-position model. Lineage: Bacteria; Pseudomonadati; Pseudomonadota; Gammaproteobacteria; Moraxellales; Moraxellaceae. The record is from RNAcentral.
AUUGAACGCUGGCGGCAGGCUUAACACAUGCAAGUCGAGCGGUAACAUUUCUAGCUUGCUAGAAGAUGACGAGCGGCGGACGGGUGAGUAAUACUUAGGAAUCUACCUAGUAGUGGGGGAUAGCUCGGGGAAACUCGAAUUAAUACCGCAUACGACCUAUGGGAGAAAGGGGGCAACUUGUUGCUCUCGCUAUUAGAUGAGCCUAAGUCGGAUUAGCUAGAUGGUGGGGUAAAGGCCUACCAUGGCGACGAUCUGUAGCUGGUCUGAGAGGAUGAUCAGCCACACCGGGACUGAGACACGGCCCGGACUCCUACGGGAGGCAGCAGUGGGGAAUAUUGGACAAUGGGGGAAACCCUGAUCCAGCCAUGCCGCGUGUGUGAAGAAGGCCUUUUGGUUGUAAAGCACUUUAAGCAGUGAAGAAGACUCUUCGGUUAAUACCCGGAGACGAUGACAUUAGCUGCAGAAUAAGCACCGGCUAACUCUGUGCCAGCAGCCGCGGUAAUACAGAGGGUGCAAGCGUUAAUCGGAAUUACUGGGCGUAAAGCGAGCGUAGGUGGCUUGAUAAGUCAGAUGUGAAAUCCCCGGGCUUAACCUGGGAACUGCAUCUGAUACUGUUAGGCUAGAGUAGGUGAGAGGAAGGUAGAAUUCCAGGUGUAGCGGUGAAAUGCGUAGAGAUCUGGAGGAAUACCGAUGGCGAAGGCAGCCUUCUGGCAUCAUACUGACACUGAGGCUCGAAAGCGUGGGUAGCAAACAGG